RNAcentral lists this ribosomal RNA (105 nucleotides) under Acanthosepion pharaonis. The record is from RNAcentral. Lineage: Eukaryota; Metazoa; Mollusca; Cephalopoda; Sepiida; Sepiidae.
UUACGGUCAUAUCACGUUUAAACGCCAGUUUUCGUACGAUUACAAAAGUUAAGCAACGUCGAACCUGGUCAGUACCUAGAUGGGAGACCGCUUGGGAAGCUUGGA